UAUAUUGCUCAAGAUACCUGACUGGUUCAGUAUAAUAGCAUUUUAAUCUAUACUUGUGAGCUUUUGAAAAGAAAGAACUAAGCUCAAAACUAUCAUUUAUAUACUGCCUUUGGAAUGAACUUCCAUCGUAUCCAUAAAUUAUUGAAAGGUUUUCUGUCUGCAGAAUAGUCAAACAAUACCGUCAUUAACAACAAAUUUUACACAAAGACAUCAUUCCUAUAAUCAAUAAGGCAAAGCAAAAAGCCUGCAUUGUUAUGUGAAGCUAAAGUGAAACAUAAGUGGAACAAAGCAAACCUUGCACAAAGGACAUUUUACAGAAGAAGGUGCAUGAGAAUGCUUGCCAGCAACUACUUUAGUCCAAUUCAAAAUGCAACUGUAACAAAAUUUAUCUGCAAUACAAGAAUAAGAGGAACAAAUGACCCACCAUCAUCUUGCAUCAUUCCCCAACCCUCUCUGCCCCCGCCCACAAACCCAAC
Molecule: unclassified non-coding RNA, 476 nt
Filed under: Hevea brasiliensis (rubber tree)
Lineage: Eukaryota; Viridiplantae; Streptophyta; Magnoliopsida; Malpighiales; Euphorbiaceae
Source: RNAcentral